UACGAAGGGGGGCUAGCGUUGCUCGGAAUCACUGGGCGUAAAGGGUGCGUAGGCGGGUCUUUAAGUCAGGGGUGAAAUCCUGGAGCUCAACUCCGGAACUGCCUUUGAUACUGAGGGUCUCGAGUUCGGGAGAGGUGAGUGGAACUGCGAGUGUAGAGGUGAAAUUCGUAGAUAUUCGCAAGAACACCAGUGGCGAAGGCGGCUCACUGGCCCGAUACUGACGCUGAGGUGCGAAAGCGUGGGGAGCAAACAGG
RNAcentral lists this ribosomal RNA (254 nucleotides) under uncultured bacterium. RNAcentral describes it as "partial 16S ribosomal RNA". It matches the Rfam family "Bacterial small subunit ribosomal RNA", at positions 524 to 776 of the family's 1533-position model. The record is from RNAcentral.